UCUCCGUUGGUGAACCAGCGGAGGGAUCAUUACCGAGUGCAAACUCAUAACCCUUUGUGUACCUCUAUCUGUUGCUUCGGCGGCUCGCUCUCGGCGAGCCCGCCGGUAAUAUCAGUAUCUCUGUUUGAACCCGACGCUACUUCUGAGUGUUCUUAGCGAACAGUUAAAACUUUUAACAACGGAUCUCUUGGCUCUA
RNAcentral lists this unclassified non-coding RNA (196 nucleotides) under plant metagenome. RNAcentral describes it as "partial contains small subunit ribosomal RNA, internal transcribed spacer 1, and 5.8S ribosomal RNA". The record is from RNAcentral.